RNAcentral lists this long non-coding RNA (283 nucleotides) under Mustela putorius furo (domestic ferret). Its description in RNAcentral is "lncRNA (ENSMPUG00000026599.1)". The record is from RNAcentral. Lineage: Eukaryota; Metazoa; Chordata; Mammalia; Carnivora; Mustelidae.
UUGAGACUGCUGUCUGACUGAGAUGGAGGGAGUGAUCGUUUUGAGAAAGAGGAUGAAACCAUUCAGCCUUGUCACAGAAUAGGUCAAGCCCAUCUGUGGCUUUGUAAAGUAAACAGCCAUUUUCCAGAAAAACCAGGGAAGAUUAAGCAUUCCAAGCAGAAGAAACAACAUGAGUAAAGAUAAUGAUUUGAAGUGGCACAGUAUGUACUGUCAAGUGUUGCAGGACUGGAAAAUGUGAAGGUUGCUUUUAUUUUGAGCCUUCCCUGAUCUUGGUUUAAUAAAA